GAUGAAGAACGUAGCAAAAUGCGAUAAGUAGUGUGAAUUGCAGAAUUCAGUGAAUCAUCGAAUCUUUGAACGCACAUUGCGCCCUUUGGUAUUCCUUAGGGCAUGCCUGUUCGAGCGUCAUUUAAACCUUCAAGCUCAGCUUGGUGUUGGGUGACUGUCCGCUUCACCGCGGACUCGCCUCAAAAUUAUUGGCGGCCGGUACAUUGGCUCUCGAGCGCAGCAGAAACGCGUAACUCGAGGUCCUCGUGCUGGCUCCCAGAAGCUAUCUUCACAAUUUUGACCUCGGAUCAGGUAGGGAUACCCGCUGAACUUAAGCAUAUCAAUAAGCGGAGGA
RNAcentral lists this unclassified non-coding RNA (334 nucleotides) under soil metagenome. RNAcentral describes it as "partial contains 5.8S ribosomal RNA, internal transcribed spacer 2, and large subunit ribosomal RNA". The stretch from base 1 to 120 matches the Rfam family "5.8S ribosomal RNA", at positions 35 to 154 of the family's 154-position model. The record is from RNAcentral.